UGGGGAAUCUUGCGCAAUGCGCGAAAGCGUGACGCAGCAACGCCGCGUGAGGGAAGACGGCCUUCGGGUUGUAAACCUCUUUCAGGAGGGACGAAGCCUUGUCGGUGAAUAGCCGUGCGAGGUGACGGUACCUCCACAAGAAGCCCCGGCUAACUACGUGCCAGCAGCCGCGGUAAUACGUAGGGGGCAAGCGUUGUCCGGAAUCAUUGGGCGUAAAGAGCGUGUAGGCGGUCCGAUAAGUCCGCUGUAAAAGUCAAGGGCUCAACCCUUGAAAGCCGGUGGAUACUGUCGGGCUAGAGUCCGGAAGAGGCGAGUGGAACUCCUGGUGUAGCGGUGAAAUGCGCAGAUAUCAGGAAGAACACCAACGGCGAAGGCAGCUCGCUGGGACGGUACUGACGCUGAGACGCGAAAGCGUGGGGAGCAAACAG
RNAcentral lists this ribosomal RNA (428 nucleotides) under uncultured bacterium. Its description in RNAcentral is "bacterial SSU rRNA". It matches the Rfam family "Bacterial small subunit ribosomal RNA", at positions 355 to 775 of the family's 1533-position model. The record is from RNAcentral.